UACUUGGCCAUGAUCGCCUUGGUAAUUC
RNAcentral lists this non-coding RNA (28 nucleotides) under Mus musculus (house mouse). Lineage: Eukaryota; Metazoa; Chordata; Mammalia; Rodentia; Muridae. The record is from RNAcentral.